ACUAAGCUAAAUGAUGAUAAAUACCUGCCUAAAAUGAGUAAAAUACAGUGUU
This 52-nucleotide small RNA is filed under the name Arabidopsis thaliana (thale cress). Its description in RNAcentral is "ATSL167670". The record is from RNAcentral. Lineage: Eukaryota; Viridiplantae; Streptophyta; Magnoliopsida; Brassicales; Brassicaceae.